UGUUUCAAGUAAACGUGUGUUGAGACUGAUGACAUCGCUGUCGCUAUCACUGCUCAUCUUGACUACGUGAGAACUAACAGCUUGGAAGAGCCACCCUUGUUUAAAUGACCGGCAGAAGAGCUGAGGAAAUAUAGUUUUGGUAUCACAGUGGCUUUCCCGACCUGCUCAAAUGAACCGCAGGGAAUCAGAACAGCUCAUCAGGACCCCCACUGUGCCCCCCGUCCCAGAACAGCUGCCAUGAGUGGAUAAAAGUGGGAAAGAGCUGGCCUCUGGGAAGCAGGAAAACCAUCUAAGAAUGCACUGAGACACAUAUUGUGGCGUCUGGGAAACACAUAAGACUCGAGCCAGGAUGACCUGCUGCAGACAGCCGGACUCCUCCGAGGUAGGGCCAUCUUCACGUACUUGG
Tachyglossus aculeatus (Australian echidna) is the source of this 406-nucleotide long non-coding RNA. RefSeq lists it as uncharacterized. Lineage: Eukaryota; Metazoa; Chordata; Mammalia; Monotremata; Tachyglossidae. The transcript is spliced from 3 exons. The record is from RefSeq and is a predicted model, not a curated record.